CUACGGGGCGCACCAGUGAGGAAUAUUGCACAAUGGGGGGAACCCUGAUGCAGCAACGCCGCGUGGAGGAUGACGCAUUUCGGUGUGUAAACUCCUUUUAUAUGUCAAGAAAAUGACGGUAGCAUAUGAAUAAGCACCGGCUAACUCCGUGCCAGCAGCCGCGGUAAUACGGAGGGUGCAAGCGUUACUCGGAAUCACUGGGCGGAAAGGGCGCGUAGGCGGGUUGGAAAGUCAGGUGUGAAAUCCUACAGCUUAACUGUAGAACUGCACUUGAAACUUCUAAUCUAGAGUAUGGGAGGGGGAGAUGGAAUUAGUGGUGUAGGGGUAAAAUCCGUGGAUAUCACUAGGAAUACCUAAAGCGAAGGCGAUCUCCUGGAACAUUACUGACGCUAAGGCGUGAAAGCGUGGGGAGCAAACAGGAUUAGAUACCCUUGUAGUC
This 439-nucleotide ribosomal RNA is filed under the name uncultured bacterium. Its description in RNAcentral is "partial 16S ribosomal RNA". It matches the Rfam family "Bacterial small subunit ribosomal RNA", at positions 339 to 795 of the family's 1533-position model. The record is from RNAcentral.